Molecule: unclassified non-coding RNA, 21 nt
Filed under: Dictyostelium discoideum
Lineage: Eukaryota; Evosea; Eumycetozoa; Dictyosteliales; Dictyosteliaceae
Source: RNAcentral
UGACGACAUGUUUGAUUGAGU